Molecule: non-coding RNA, 1540 nt
Organism: Microcebus murinus (gray mouse lemur)
Lineage: Eukaryota; Metazoa; Chordata; Mammalia; Primates; Cheirogaleidae
Source: RefSeq, a predicted model, not a curated record
CCGAACUCCCCGGGGUGGGGGCGUGGCUGGCAAGCCGAGCGGAGACGCGGGCGGAGCCUCGGAGCCUGCGCCGGGGGCAGAAAGGGGCCGGAGUGCUUAGAUUGGAAGACAAUGCGCCUAGUACUGAGCGGCGGGAGGUGGCGGGACCUUUAGGGUGGCCUGUUACCGUCGAUCGUUUAUGUUGAGUCGAUGUUUCUUGUUCUUUCAAUCAUUCCAUUCAAAGAGCUGUGGAGUCUAGUUGAUGAAAGAUAAAACAGAGUCCUACACUGCUGUGUGACCUCAGGCAAAUUAGACAACCUCUCUGGGCCGCAGCAUCCUCAGUUGAAAAGUGGUGAUAAUUAUAUUUACCCGCCCAAGUAGUUGUGAAGAUUACAUAAGAUACAUAUAGACUAUUGUCAUAAUGCCUGGCAGAGGAUGGAUGCUUCUUAACAUUUGGUAGCCGAUAAUGAUGAGGACAAUUUUGUGUCAGAAAUUGUGCUAGAUACUGAGGUUCAAGGAUGAAGAAAACAGAGGCCCUCCUCUCAAGGAGGUUAGAGUCUAGUGGGAGAGACUGACAAGUAAGCUGAUUGCCUGAGGCCGCCUUCUCUGAUUUCUUGCCUUCAGGUAGAAGGUGUUUUCUCUGAGCUAUGAUACUUUGUUUCACAGUUACAACAUGACAUUUAUGCAGUCUCCUGUCUCCCUUUAAUGGUUUGUCACCUCUUAAUUGCAAUGUGGCUGCCACAGCUCCAGACUUCAUAUCCUCAGAGGUUAUUGUGCAAAGAAGGAUGAAGGAAAAGCAAGUGCUGCUCCCAUUUUUAUGAAGCAGAAAAAUUUUUCCCAGACUUCUCUCUAGUGGAAUCUCCCUUAUUGGCCAGAAAAUGGCCACAUGCUAUAUGAGACCAGUCACCCACAAAGGGAAAUGGGAUUGCCACCAGUUCAUUAAAUUGAUCAUGAACCUCCAAUGCUCCCCCAAAAUAGGGGUUCUGUUUGAGAGAAGAAAGGGGGAGUAGUUGUUACAUUGAUACCCAACAGUGUCUGCCACAUGCUUCAACCAAAAAUAAGUUAUAUUGAUUCUUGGGCAGAAAACUAUAGGGAUUAGGAGCUCGAGUUCUCCUGUCAGACUGCAAAUCCCCGUUUUUCUACUUACUAGCCCUGUGAUCUUGAGCAAGCUGUUUAACCUCACCUAAUCACAAUUUGUUCAUCCACAAAAUGGGUCUUGCCUGAGUUGUGAGAACUGUAUGAAGCUAUUUAAGUACUUAACUAACAUAGGGUGCAGCAUGUAGCAAACAACAAAUUAUUAUUUUAGUUUGUGCUAAAUUAUAAUAUUUGUGACAAGAUUAAAAGCAUUGCUAAACUUUAUAAUUCUGUACAUGUUAAAUUCACUCAUCUCAGUAAGCUUAGUCUUAGUUUUUAAAAUGCUCUAGAAAUAAGCUGCCCACUCAUUGAAUGAAUGAGGUAGAAUACUGGUAGGAUACUAUUCUGGACAUUUUUAUGUAGUUAAAGGGAUCAUAUUAUAAGUUUCUAAAAUAGCACAUAAUUUUUAGGCACCUGAUUAAAUAAU